CUUUAGUGUUCCAUGGCUGAGUCCGAGUGCACUGCAAGCAAUGCCUAUUUUUUUUUUUUUUUCACAGAUUCAUCAUUUGUUGGCAGCCCUUGGUGGGAAGAGGAUGGCUUGGGCUCUGAGAGUCAAAGAAGUGGAGAUGGGGCCUGUGCUUCUCCUUGUCCUGCUCCUGCUUCUCCAGCACCAGGGACCAGUCUUCCUCCUUCACCAGCUGGACACUCACCAGAUGCUGGGUUCAUCAUUUGUUGGCAGCCCUUGGUGGGAAGAGGAUGGCUUGGGCUGUGAGAGGCAAAGAAGUGGAGAUGGGGCCUGUGGAUCUGGACCCUGCAGAUGUGACAAGGUGGCAGUGAGGACUACAGGCUGAAGGACUGGGACUCAGCACACAGAAAUAGAAAACAAGAGAAAGAACCAAACUCUUUUGGAUUUGGGUAAGUAUUAUUUUUUAUGAUUUCUGUUUCAAUGAUAUAAAAUGGUUUCCAAUUG
Molecule: long non-coding RNA, 480 nt
Filed under: Urocitellus parryii (Arctic ground squirrel)
Lineage: Eukaryota; Metazoa; Chordata; Mammalia; Rodentia; Sciuridae
Description: lncRNA (ENSUPAG00010013574.1)
Source: RNAcentral